UCCCCUGCUGCUGCCCCGGAGCCGGAGCCGGAGCCGAGCCGGAGCCGAGCCGAGGAGACCUCGCGGGAACUGCCGUCGGGACAGCCUCAAGCGGAAACCGGCCUCACCCGGCCCAGGGCGGCAGGAAGCGCCAAGACUUCCGGGCGGGCCGCCGCCACGCUCAGCCAGUGAGAAGCCGCCGCCAUCACCGGCAGCCAAUGAGAAGCCGCCGCCAUCACCGGCAGCCAAUGAGAAGCCGCCGCCAUCACCGGCAGCCAAUGAGAAGCCGCCGCCGCACUCAGCCAGUCGACACUUUCCGGCCUGCGAAUCCUCCAGCCCUGCCUGGGAAGCGGAGAACCCAGCUCGAAGACUAUCUUUCCUCUCACGGAUCUACGUGGCGCCCUCGCCCGAGGAGGCCGUUAACCCCGUGACCCGCCCUAAGUCACUAAAAGCCAUUUUCGUGGGCUCCGGGGCCCCGGAAGCGACCAGUAAGGAAUUCUGUUCUUCAAAAACCGUUUCUGUUGCUCAGAAGCCAGUUUCCGUCAGAUGUUGAUUUGGGCUUUGCAGACUGUAACCCACGCCCAGGGUUUCCUGACAAAACACCGUGUUCUGGAGGACGCGAGUCCCAAGGAGUGGACCCGCCCCCCCCCCGGCCGGACCCCCGGGCGGCCUCGCGCUACCGAACUGUGCCCGUGUCAGGUUGUACUUGAGAAAAGUGCAAGACAUUUUUGAAUAUUUUCUGCGGAGUUUCAUGAAUAUGCUUUUGCGACGACUUAAUGUGAAUCUUUUGUAACCUGCCAGUAAUCUUAAUGUGCGACCAUACUGUAUUAUCAGGCUUGUAAAAUGUAUGGACUAUAAAAAAGAAAUUCUGAAAAGAUGCAAAACUAA
Molecule: long non-coding RNA, 867 nt
Organism: Canis lupus familiaris (dog)
Lineage: Eukaryota; Metazoa; Chordata; Mammalia; Carnivora; Canidae
Exons: 2
Source: RefSeq, a predicted model, not a curated record